This 441-nucleotide ribosomal RNA is filed under the name uncultured Acidimicrobiaceae bacterium. Its description in RNAcentral is "bacterial SSU rRNA". It matches the Rfam family "Bacterial small subunit ribosomal RNA", at positions 338 to 795 of the family's 1533-position model. Lineage: Bacteria; Bacillati; Actinomycetota; Acidimicrobiia; Acidimicrobiales; Acidimicrobiaceae. The record is from RNAcentral.
CCUACGGGGGGCAGCAGUGGGGAAUCUUGCGCAAUGGGCGAAAGCCUGACGCAGCAACGCCGCGUGCGGGAAGAAGGCCCUCGGGUUGUAAACCGCUUUCAGCAGGAACGAAAAUGACGGUACUUGCAGAAGAAGGUGCGGCCAACUACGUGCCAGCAGCCGCGGUGACACGUAGGCACCAAGCGUUGUCCGGAUUUAUUGGGCGUAAAGAGCUCGUAGGCGGUUCGGUAAGUCGGGUGUGAAAACUUUGGGCUUAACCCAAAGCCUGCAUCCGAUACUGCUGUGACUAGAGUUCGGUAGGGGAGCGGGGAAUUCCUAGUGUAGCGGUGAAAUGCGCAGAUAUUAGGAGGAACACCGGUGGCGAAGGCGCCGCUCUGGGCCGAUACUGACGCUGAGGAGCGAAAGCGUGGGUAGCAAACAGGAUUAGAUACCCCAGUAGUC